AUUGAACGCUGGCGGCAGGCCUAACACAUGCAAGUCGAGCGCGAAAGGCUUUCGGGCUGAGUAGAGCGGCGGACGGGUGAGUAACGCGUAGGAAUCUACCUGGUAGUGGGGGACAACUUGGGGAAACUCAAGCUAAUACCGCAUACGCCCCACGGGGGAAAGCGGGGGACCUUCGGGCCUCGCGCUAUCGGAUGAGCCUGCGUAGGAUUAGCUAGUUGGUGGGGUAAAGGCUCACCAAGGCGACGAUCCUUAGCUGGUCUGAGAGGAUGAUCAGCCACACUGGAACUGAGACACGGUCCAGACUCCUACGGGAGGCAGCAGUGGGGAAUAUUGCGCAAUGGGCGAAAGCCUGACGCAGCCAUGCCGCGUGUGUGAAGAAGGCCUUAGGGUUGUAAAGCACUU
This 402-nucleotide ribosomal RNA is filed under the name uncultured bacterium. RNAcentral's name for it is "bacterial SSU rRNA". It matches the Rfam family "Bacterial small subunit ribosomal RNA", at positions 29 to 435 of the family's 1533-position model. The record is from RNAcentral.